Molecule: unclassified non-coding RNA, 305 nt
Filed under: uncultured Sordariales
Lineage: Eukaryota; Fungi; Ascomycota; Sordariomycetes; Sordariales
Also listed under: 1 other name
Description: sequence contains ITS1
Rfam family: 5.8S ribosomal RNA (bases 1-105)
Source: RNAcentral
GAAAUGCGAUAAGUAAUGUGAAUUGCAGAAUUCAGUGAAUCAUCGAAUCUUUGAACGCACAUUGCGCCCGCCAGCAUUCUGGCGGGCAUGCCUGUUCGAGCGUCAUUUCAACCAUCAAGCCCCGGGCUUGUGUUGGGGACCUGCGGCUGCCCGCAGGCCCUGAAAACCAGUGGCGGGCUCGUUGUCACCCCGAGCGUAGUAAGAGUAUCACCUCGCUCAGGGCGUGCUGCGGGUCCCGGCCGUUAAACCACCCCAUCUAUACCAAGGUUGACCUCGGAUCAGGUAGGAAUACCCGCUGAACUUAA